AAACUUUUCUGUCUCAGUGCUCAGGCCGAGCAAAGUAGUCUAUGCCUUGGCUCUGUCUCUGCUCCUCAGUCUCUCUCUCCUGCUCCUCUGUCUCUCUCUCCUGCUCCUCAGUCUCUCUCUCCU
This is a long non-coding RNA of Melanotaenia boesemani (Boeseman's rainbowfish), 123 nucleotides long. RefSeq lists it as uncharacterized. The record is from RefSeq and is a predicted model, not a curated record. Lineage: Eukaryota; Metazoa; Chordata; Actinopteri; Atheriniformes; Melanotaeniidae. The transcript is spliced from 3 exons.